RNAcentral lists this transfer RNA (72 nucleotides) under Salmo salar (Atlantic salmon). It matches the Rfam family "tRNA". From Rfam's summary of the family: Transfer RNA (tRNA) molecules are approximately 80 nucleotides in length. Their secondary structure includes four short double-helical elements and three loops (D, anti-codon, and T loops). The record is from Rfam by way of RNAcentral. Lineage: Eukaryota; Metazoa; Chordata; Actinopteri; Salmoniformes; Salmonidae.
UCCCGUGUAGCUCAGAUAGUAGAGCAUGGUGCUUGCGAUGCCAGUGUUAUGGGUUUGAUUCCCACAGGGGAC